CCUACGGGAGGCAGCAGUGGGGAAUAUUGCACAAUGGGGGAAACCCUGAUGCAGCGACGCCGCGUGAGUGAAGAAGUAUUUCGGUAUGUAAAGCUCUAUCAGCAGGGAAGAAAAUGACGGUACCUGAUUAAGAAGCCCCGGCUAACUACGUGCCAGCAGCCGCUGUUAUACGUAGGGGGCAAGCGUUAUCCGGAUUUACUGGGUGUAAAGGGAGAGUAGACGGCAGCACAAGUCUGGAGUGAACAGCCGGGGCUUAACCCCGGAACUGCUUUGGAAACUGUGCAGCUAGAGUGCAGGAGAGGUAAGUGGAAUUCCUAGUGUAGCGGUGAAAUGCGUAGAUAUUAGGAGGAACACCAGUGGCGAAGGCGGCUUACUGGACUGUAACUGACGUUGAGGCUCGAAAGCGUGGGGAGCAAACAGGAUUAGAUACCCCGGUAGUC
RNAcentral lists this ribosomal RNA (440 nucleotides) under uncultured bacterium. RNAcentral's name for it is "partial 16S ribosomal RNA". It matches the Rfam family "Bacterial small subunit ribosomal RNA", at positions 338 to 795 of the family's 1533-position model. The record is from RNAcentral.